RNAcentral lists this ribosomal RNA (484 nucleotides) under uncultured bacterium. RNAcentral describes it as "partial 16S ribosomal RNA". It matches the Rfam family "Bacterial small subunit ribosomal RNA", at positions 29 to 507 of the family's 1533-position model. The record is from RNAcentral.
AUUGAACGCUGGCGGCAUGCUUUACACAUGCAAGUCGAACGGCAGCGCGGGCUUCGUCCUGGCGGCGAGUGGCGAACGGGUGAGUAAUACAUCGGAACGUGCCCAGUAGUGGGGGAUAGCUCGGCGAAAGCCGGAUUAAUACCGCAUACGACCUGAGGGUGAAAGCGGGGGAUCUUCGGACCUCGCGCUAUUGGAGCGGCCGAUGGCAGAUUAGCUAGUUGGUGGGGUAAAGGCCUACCAAGGCGACGAUCUGUAGCUGGUCUGAGAGGACGACCAGCCACACUGGGACUGAGACACGGCCCAGACUCCUACGGGAGGCAGCAGUGGGGAAUUUUGGACAAUGGGCGAAAGCCUGAUCCAGCAAUGCCGCGUGUGUGAUGAAGGCCUUCGGGUUGUAAAGCACUUUUGGCGGGAACGAAAAGGACUGUGCCAAUACCACGGUUCGAUGACGGUACCCGCAGAAUAAGCACCGGCUAACUACGUG